UGGGGAAUAUUACACAAUGGGCGAAAGCCUGAUGCAGCAACGCCGCGUGAGUGAUGAAGGUCUUCGGAUUGUAAAGCUCUGUCUUUUGGGACGAUAAUGACGGUACCAAAGGAGGAAGCCACGGCUAACUACGUGCCAGCAGCCGCGGUAAUACGUAGGUGGCGAGCGUUGUCCGGAUUUACUGGGCGUAAAGGGUGCGUAGGCGGAUGUUUAAGUGAGAUGUGAAAUACCCGGGCUUAACUUGGGUGCUGCAUUUCAAACUGGAUAUCUAGAGUGCAGGAGAGGAGAAUGGAAUUCCUAGUGUAGCGGUGAAAUGCGUAGAGAUUAGGAAGAACACCAGUGGCGAAGGCGAUUCUCUGGACUGUAACUGACGCUGAGGCACGAAAGCGUGGGUAGCAAACAGGAUUAGAUACCCUGGUAGUCCACGCCGUAAACGAUGAGUACUAGGUGUAGGAGGUAUCGACCCCUUCUGUGCCGCAGUAAACACAUUAACGUACUCCGCCUGGGAAGUACGA
This 515-nucleotide ribosomal RNA is filed under the name uncultured bacterium. RNAcentral describes it as "partial 16S ribosomal RNA". It matches the Rfam family "Bacterial small subunit ribosomal RNA", at positions 355 to 885 of the family's 1533-position model. The record is from RNAcentral.